Phascolarctos cinereus (koala) is the source of this 772-nucleotide non-coding RNA. The record is from RefSeq and is a predicted model, not a curated record. Lineage: Eukaryota; Metazoa; Chordata; Mammalia; Diprotodontia; Phascolarctidae.
UAAACCCUAUACUCUGUUUCAAGCCAUCAGAUAGCUGAACCACAGAUGCCUCCUCCCUAGCCCCCUAAGAAAUGACCUCUCUUUUCUAUCUAUAGCCAACUCCAUGCUUGGGGUCUGGAUAGUGUCAAUUCAAGAUGAACAUAAAAGUCCUCAGUCAUUAUCCGGGAGGUAAGAAAGCAAAGUGGACCCUCUCUGAUUGCCAAAGGACUCAAGAACUGGUGCUACACGAUUGUAAUGGAACACUGUUGUAUCAUAAGUAAUGAUGAAUACAAAAAAUCAGAGAAGCUUGGGAAGACAUCUAUGAACUGAUGCAAAGAACAGGCCCUGUUCCCUUGCAGUUGCAAGUACUAGUGCUCCUUUUUGCCCUGGAACUGUGACCAAGUCUCCUGCUCUUCUGCAGCUACAAAUGCUAGCUCUCCUCUUAACCCUGGAACCGUGACCAGUGUCCCUGCUUCCUAGUGACCAACCACCAGUGUUCCUCUCUACCCUGGACCCAUGACCCAGAACUGCCAAUCAGCAUCAGCUAUACCCAAUGUGCCAGCAAAAGGUCCCCUCUAAUCCCUUUCUGACCAGUUAUCCAACCCCCUUACUGUCUCUGGGCUCUCAGCUCCUGAGGCUGCUGUCUCCAAGGCCCACUGAUAGCACUCCUGCUGCCCUCCAGGCCUGUGCCCAUUCUGGUGUUACAGACCACUCCUGUAGACCUUCUAAGUUGUCUUAGGCUGGAAAAAAUGUCACCUUCUGGCAAAGAAUUGGAAAUUGAGAGGACGCCCAU